RNAcentral lists this transfer RNA (74 nucleotides) under bacterium. RNAcentral describes it as "tRNA-Thr". It matches the Rfam family "tRNA". From Rfam's summary of the family: Transfer RNA (tRNA) molecules are approximately 80 nucleotides in length. The record is from RNAcentral.
GUGGGGUUAGCAUAAUGGUGAUGCAACCGUUUUGUAAACGGUAGAAACGGGGUCAGAACCCGUACCCCACCCCA